AUGUCUGAUCUCGACGUCCAGGUUCCAACUGCUUUUGAUCCGUUUGCUGAGGCAAAUGCUGAGGACUCCGGCGCUGGUGCUGGAUCAAAGAACUAUGUGCAUGUGCGUGUCCAGCAGCGCAACGGAAGAAAGAGUCUGACAACUGUUCAGGGUCUGAAGAAAGACUACAGCUACAACAAGAUUCUCAAGGAUCUCAAAAAGGAAUUCUGCUGUAAUGGUACUGUAGUCCAGGAUCCAGAACUAGGCCAGGUCAUCCAACUCCAAGGUGAUCAGCGUAAAAAUGUUGCUACUUUUCUAGUUCAGGCUGGACUUGCAAAGAAAGAGAGCAUCAAGAUUCACGGAUUUUAG
This 348-nucleotide ribosomal RNA is filed under the name Triticum aestivum (bread wheat). RNAcentral's name for it is "partial small subunit ribosomal RNA". Lineage: Eukaryota; Viridiplantae; Streptophyta; Magnoliopsida; Poales; Poaceae. The record is from RNAcentral.